AGACAGUUUUAUUCUUGCUGUUUUGUUCAGUUUGUCCUUGCUUUAUAUGUAAGUUUUUGCGUGAUUAUUCUUUUGCUCUUGAUGGGCUGGGGUAAAUAUUUUAUUUAUUCGCAUUAUUUAAUUUUAUAGAUUUUGGUUUCUUUGAUUUAGCAAUGGUUUAAGUGCCGGUUAAGUUUGUGCCAGCAGCCGCGGUUAUACAUUAGGUGCAAUUGAACAUUUUCGGUUGUGCAGUUUUAUUAUUUUAUUGUGAUUGGGUUUUAAUUGGGAUUAUUUUGUAUUUAGGUGAAAUUUUUAUUUUUAUUCAUUGCUCAUGGUUUGUUUUGCAGGCUGUUAAAUCUUUUUUGUAAACUAGGAUUAGAUACCCUAUUAUUUUUGAUGUUAAUGUAGUUUUCCUGGGUAGUAUUAGUUAUGUUCUUGAAACUCAAAGAAUUUGGCGGUAUCUUAUUCCUUUCAGAGGAAUCUGCCCCGUGAUCGAUAAUCCGCGUUGGACCUUACUUGGAAUUUGUUUGUAUACCGCCGUUAUAGUGAAGAUCUUUUUAGUGUUGUUAAUUUUCUGGUCUCUUUAUUGGGAUUUAUUUCAGGUCAAGGUGCAAUUUAUUUUUAAGUGUGAGGUGGAUUACAAUAUGUUGUUGAGUUUUGGAUUAUUGAUUGAAAGUUUGUUGAUAUGAAGUUGGAUUUGGUUGUAAUUUGUUGAAGAUUGUUUUAAUGAUGUUGGUUCUAGGAUAUGUACACAUCGCCCGUCGCUCUCAUUAUUUGUUGAGAUAAGUCGUAACAUAGUGGUCGUACCGGAAGGUGUGGCUGGAUUGAU
RNAcentral lists this non-coding RNA (808 nucleotides) under Cryptotermes brevis. Lineage: Eukaryota; Metazoa; Arthropoda; Insecta; Blattodea; Kalotermitidae. The record is from RNAcentral.